GUAAUACACAAACAUACUGAGUGCUGAAAAUGAUUAAAAGCAGGUUGCUCUGAAUAUGCUCAGCCAAUCAAGGAAUUUUCUUGCAUUUAUUCAUUUAGCAAAAGCUUUUCUCCAAAGCAUCAGCUUUCUUAAAAUGUGCAGAUGACACUUUACAGUUGCACCAGUUAUUCGGAAUUUAUUUAUGGUUGUUUUAAUACACUGGGAUUAUUUUUAUAUAGUGCAACUUCAACUGAUCCUAAAAAGUAGUUACAGUAUGACAGUUUAAAAUGGCUAAAGCUGGUUUUCCUAAAGUUGUGUAAGCAUACAGUCUGUAAAUUAAAAAGGAUUUUAAAAAGUGUAGAAAAUUUGGCAACGUUUCAAAGGUGCAAUGUGCCAGAAUUACAUGGUUGCAUAACUGUUUACUGCCUGAUUUUGGGCUGUUUUUUUAUUGGUCAGAAAAUAGUGUAGACAACAUUAAGGAACAGCAACUGUGAGGUCACUGCAAUAUGCAAAUGAGGAUGGGCAUUAAAAGCAGAGCUCGGGGAGCUUUAUAGCCUGUCAAGGGAUUGUGAACAGCACAGAAAGACAACGCAAAAAAGUGUAAUAAAAACUUUCUCUGAGAAGACAGCAGACACAAGGGUUCAAUCAGGAAUCAGAAUUCUCGUUUCAGUCUUGAGCCCUGGAAAGGAUAUCAUCAUAUACUAUAACUUCAGCUUGACUUCGCACCGGAAAACAUUCAUCAGAUCCUGCCCAGCCUCUCGGGCAAUCCUGCCG
This is a long non-coding RNA of Scleropages formosus (Asian bonytongue), 753 nucleotides long. RefSeq lists it as uncharacterized. The record is from RefSeq and is a predicted model, not a curated record. The transcript has 3 exons. NCBI's taxonomy places the organism in Eukaryota, Metazoa, Chordata, Actinopteri, Osteoglossiformes, Osteoglossidae.